UACGUAGGUGGCAAGCGUUGUUCGGAAUCACUGGGCGUAAAGCGCGCGCAGGCGGCGAUCUACGUCUGGGGUGAAAGCCCGGAGCUCAACUCCGGGACUGCCUUGGAUACGGGAUCGCUUGAGGAUUGGAGAGGCAAGGGGAAUUCCACGUGUAGCGGUGAAAUGCGUAGAUAUGUGGAGGAACACCUGUGGCGAAGGCGCCUUGCUGGCCAGUUACUGACGCUGAGGCGCGAAAGCGUGGGGAGCAAACAGG
RNAcentral lists this ribosomal RNA (253 nucleotides) under uncultured bacterium. RNAcentral describes it as "partial 16S ribosomal RNA". It matches the Rfam family "Bacterial small subunit ribosomal RNA", at positions 524 to 776 of the family's 1533-position model. The record is from RNAcentral.